This 295-nucleotide ribosomal RNA is filed under the name uncultured bacterium. RNAcentral's name for it is "partial 16S ribosomal RNA". It matches the Rfam family "Bacterial small subunit ribosomal RNA", at positions 29 to 355 of the family's 1533-position model. The record is from RNAcentral.
AACGAACGCUGGCGGCAGGCUUAACACAUGCAAGUCGAGCGCCCCGCAAGGGAGCGGCAGACGGGUGAGUAACGCGUGGGAAACUACCCUUUGGUACGGAAUAACACAGAGAAAUUUGUGCUAAUACCGUAUGUGCCCUUCGGGGAAAGAUUUAUCGCCAUAGGAUGUGCCCGCGUCGGAUUAGCUAGUUGGUAGGGUAAUGGCCUACCAAGGCGACGAUCCGUAGCUGGUCUGAGAGGAUGAUCAGCCACACUGGGACUGAGACACGGCCCAGACUCCUACGGGCGGCAGCAGU